RNAcentral lists this microRNA precursor (72 nucleotides) under Mesocricetus auratus (golden hamster). RNAcentral describes it as "miRNA (ENSMAUG00000001534.1)". Lineage: Eukaryota; Metazoa; Chordata; Mammalia; Rodentia; Cricetidae. The record is from RNAcentral.
UAAUUUGUGUGUGCAUGUGCAUGUCUGUAUCUGUAUAUGCAUGUAUAAGCACCACAUAUGUGCACAUGCCCA